GCCCUCGUGCCUCACCUGCUGCCCCUGCCCCAGCGUGGGGAUGCAUCCCAGGACACAGACAGAGGCUCCAUGAGGACCCAGAUGUGGGGAAGUGGGUGAGGACGGUCCUCACAGAACCAGGGCCCCAGACUCAGACCUUUCAGAAGACAGAAGGUGGGCCUCUCCCUCCUGGGAACAGGAGCUGGAGCCCUCUGCAGGCCGCUGGCCACCUAGCCUUGUACACUCCCAGGCUGGGCCCUGCAGGUCUGUCCCGGGAGCCCACCCACAUCUGCAGAAAGAGCAGGUCACAGGCUGCUUGUGGUCAGGGCAGACCAGACCAGGAGAAAACCCAGGAGCUGAGAGAGGCGGUGCCUGGCCACACACAGACCUCAGAGGCCACCAGGGGCACAAAUGUCACCCCAGGACCUUAGUAUUAAACAGAACAUCAACAAAAAGGCAAAGUUGGCCGGCCCCUUUCCCUUUUUAACCCUGGCUAAGAGCAGCACCCCCUGAGUUUCUUCCUGCGACAACAGAAGCUUGUUGGCCGAAGUGCAAACUUCAGGGGCCGCAACAGGCCCACCAGGGCUGGGUAGCAGGCAUAGAGCACGGGCCACGGGGUGCCACCAGCAGGUAUGGAGCACGGGCUACCGGAAGCCACCAGCAGGCAUGGCACACAGGCCACCAGGAACCACCAGCAGGCGUGGAGCACAGGCCACCAGGGGCUACCAGCAGGCGUGGAGCACAGGCCACUGGGGGCCAUCUGAGCACCAGCCUGGUGAAGGCCCGCAUCCACCACCCCACGAGUCGCCUUCUUGGCCUCCACCCUCCACCCUGAGGACACUUGGAAUGCUCAGCCUCGUACAGGCAAGGUCAGCGGAGCAAAGUGCCAGCCCAGGAUGCCAGCCCAGGACGCCGAAUCAGGCCCUCUGAGCAAGUCCUCCUCGGCCAGUGAGGAUCAAGUCGCCUGGUCCCUAAGAGAUGGGCUCCAACGAGAGCAGUGUUUCCACCCACUCACAGGCCCAAGGGUCUGUGUCUCAGCUUGUGACCUCCCAGGAGCCAGGAGAUGGCUGGGCAGGGGUCUCGUAAAGGCACACUGAGGGAAAGGGUAGGGCAAGGACCAAGGACAGACCCAGGCCUCAGAGCUACAAAGGAGAAGCGGAGAACAUCCGCCUGAGCCAGUGAGGCCUGGGGGUGAUCCACCUCUGCACAGGCAAGCGAGGUCUGCAGACCCCCAGUGUACCACAUGGUGGGCAAGGACAGGCAGCUGCCUGUGAGCAGCUGGAAGAGGAUCAGACCCACAGGGAAGUGAACAAGCACUAGAGUGAGGCCUGGGACCUGGCUUAGCACACAUACAAACUCACACACCACACAUGCAGACGCACAUACACACACACACAAACAUAUGCAAACACAGAGACACACGAACACCACACACAGGCACACACACACACCACACACAUCACACAUGCAGACACCCUCAUACACAGAAAUACACAGAUACAAACACAAACACAUGCAGACACACAAACACAGGCAUACACACACACAUACACACAGGUGUGCAAGCGCAGAGUGCUGUGUGACCAGGAUGCUAUUAAUAUUACAAUUUUUAAAAAUAAAGUAGAUCUUUACAUACUGACAUGGUAAGACACCAAAAAUAUAUUGUUAAGUGAAGAACAUCAUGUUUUAGAAGAAUGCGUAUGGUACAAUUCCUUUUGGUGGAAAACCCAAAACAAAAUAUGUGUGCGUAUGUGCAUGUGUUUCUAUGUCCAUAUCUAUGCACAUGCAUGUAUGUGCACCCAUGUGUAUAUGUGUGCACUGUGUGUGUGUGCUUGUAUGCCCGUUUGUGUGUGCACGUGUAUGCAGGCAGACGUACAUUGCCAUGUGUAUGCAUGCGUAUGCGUGUCCAUGUCUGUGUGCAUCUGUCUAUGCGUCUGCCCACGAGUGUGUCAUGUGUGCGUGGUUCAGUCCACCACACUCACCUUGCCCCUGGGGGGCCCCAGUGGUGAGAAUGGGGUGGAGGGCUGUGUGUUCAAGUGGCACAGGUGCAACAGCUGCAUUAGCUCACUUGCCAACCAGAUGAGGCCAUGCUGGCUACUGGAUUCAUCUGAGCCAACUGUGACCCCAGCUUCCCCAAACUGAGUCAACUCCAAAGAAGUUUAAAGCUAAUUUAGUGCCCAAAGCCCAAUAACUAGAAAGAUAAUAGAAAUUUCAAACACAGAGGUGAGUGGGUGUGGCAGUGAUGAGACACUGCAGUGACUGACUGUCAACUUGAUUGGACUGAAGGAUGCAAAGUAUUGAUCCUGGAUGUGUCUGUGAGGAUGUUGCCAAAGGAGAUUAACAUUUGAGUCAGUGGGCUGGGAAAGGCAGACCCACCCUUAAUCUGUGUGGGCACCAUCUAAUCAGCUGCCAGUGUGUGGCUGGAAUAUAAAGCAGGGAGACAAACCUGAAAAGACUAGACUUGGCCUAGCCUCCCAGCCUACAUCUUUCUCCCGUGCUGGAUCCUUCCUGCCCUCGAACACUGGACUCCACAUUCUUCAGUUUUAGGACUCGGAUGGCUUUCCUUGCUCCUCAGCUUGCAGAUGGCCUAUUGUGGGACCUUGUGAUCGUGUGAGUUAACACUUAAUAAACAUAUACAUAUCUAUUAGUUCUGUCCCUCUAGAGAAC
This 2646-nucleotide long non-coding RNA is filed under the name Homo sapiens (human). RNAcentral describes it as "HSALNT0353717". The record is from RNAcentral. Lineage: Eukaryota; Metazoa; Chordata; Mammalia; Primates; Hominidae.